UGGGGAAUUUUGGACAAUGGGCGCAAGCCUGAUCCAGCCAUGCCGCGUGCGGGAAGAAGGCCUUCGGGUUGUAAACCGCUUUUGUCGGGGAAGAAAAGCCUUGGGUUAAUACCCUGGGGUGAUGACGGUACCCGAAGAAUAAGCACCGGCUAACUACGUGCCAGCAGCCGCGGUAAUACGUAGGGUGCAAGCGUUAAUCGGAAUUACUGGGCGUAAAGCGUGCGCAGGCGGUUGUGUAAGACAGAUGUGAAAUCCCCGGGCUCAACCUGGGAACUGCAUUUGUGACUGCACAGCUGGAGUGCGGCGGAGGGGGAUGGAAUUCCGCGUGUAGCAGUGAAAUGCGUAGGUAGGCGGAGGAGCACCGAUGGCGAAGGCAAGCCCCUGGGCCUGCACUGACGCUCAUGCACGAAAGCGUGGGGAGCCAACA
Molecule: ribosomal RNA, 427 nt
Filed under: uncultured bacterium
Lineage: Bacteria
Description: bacterial SSU rRNA
Rfam family: Bacterial small subunit ribosomal RNA
Source: RNAcentral